RNAcentral lists this ribosomal RNA (301 nucleotides) under uncultured bacterium. RNAcentral's name for it is "partial 16S ribosomal RNA". It matches the Rfam family "Bacterial small subunit ribosomal RNA", at positions 509 to 807 of the family's 1533-position model. The record is from RNAcentral.
CAGUCGCCACGGGAAUACGUAGGGUGCAAGCGUUAAUCGGAAUUACUGGGCGUAAAGCGUGCGCAGGCGGUGUUGUAAGACUGAUGUGAAAUCCCCGGGCUCAACCUGGGAACUGCAUUGGUGACUGCAGCGCUGGAGUGCGGCAGAGGGGGAUGGAAUUCCGCGUGUAGCAGUGAAAUGCGUAGAUAUGCGGAGGAACACCGAUGGCGAAGGCAAUCCCCUGGGCCUGCACUGACGCUCAUGCACGAAAGCGUGGGGAGCAAACAGGAUUAGAUACCCCGGUAGUCCCUGUCUCUUAUAC